RNAcentral lists this transfer RNA (87 nucleotides) under Acidobacteriota bacterium. Its description in RNAcentral is "Acidobacteria bacterium (marine sediment metagenome) tRNA-Leu". It matches the Rfam family "tRNA". Rfam says of the family: Transfer RNA (tRNA) molecules are approximately 80 nucleotides in length. Their secondary structure includes four short double-helical elements and three loops (D, anti-codon, and T loops). Further hydrogen bonds mediate the characteristic L-shaped molecular structure. tRNAs have two regions of fundamental functional importance: the anti-codon, which is responsible for specific mRNA codon recognition, and the 3' end, to which the tRNAs corresponding amino acid is attached (by aminoacyl-tRNA synthetases). tRNAs cope with the degeneracy of the genetic code in two manners: having more than one tRNA (with a specific anti-codon) for a particular amino acid; and 'wobble' base-pairing, i.e. permitting non-standard base-pairing at the 3rd anti-codon position. Lineage: Bacteria; Pseudomonadati; Acidobacteriota. The record is from RNAcentral. RNAcentral also lists the same sequence under 1 other name.
GCCGGAGUGGCGGAACUGGUAGACGCAGGGGACUUAAAAUCCCCUGGCCGCAAGGCCGUGCAGGUUCGAUCCCUGCCUCCGGCACCA